AAUUUUGGACAAUGGGCGCAAGCCUGAUCCAGCCAUGCCGCGUGAGUGAAGAAGGCCUUCGGGUUGUAAAGCUCUUUCGGACGGAAAGAAAUCGCUCAGGCUAAUACCCUGCGCGGAUGACGGUACCUCGAAAACAAGCCACGGCUAACUUCGUGCCCGCAGCCGCGGUAAUACGUAGGUGGCAAGCGUUGUCCGGAUUUACUGGGUGUAAAGGGCGCGUAGGCGGGAUCGCAAGUCAGAUGUGAAAUGUCGGGGCUUAACCCUGGAACUGCAUUUGAAACUGUGAUUCUUGAGUAUCGGAGAGGCAGGCGGAAUUCCUAGUGUAGCGGUGAAAUGCGUAGAUAUUAGGAGGAACACCAGUGGCGAAGGCGGCCUGCUGGACGACAACUGACGCUGAGGCGCGAAAGCGUGGGGAGCAAACAGG
Molecule: ribosomal RNA, 424 nt
Filed under: uncultured bacterium
Lineage: Bacteria
Description: partial 16S ribosomal RNA
Rfam family: Bacterial small subunit ribosomal RNA
Source: RNAcentral